UUUCCGUAGGUGAACCUGCGGAAGGAUCAUUAUCGUAAAACCGAGGUGCGAGGGCUGUCGCUGACCUUUUCGGUCGUGCACGCCCGAGCGCUCUCACACAAUCCAUCUCACCCCUUGUGCACCACCGCGUGGGUCCCUUUCUGGCUCGUCCGGAGGGGGACUCGCGUUCUCACACAAACUUGAAGUAGUGUAGAAUGUCCUUUUUUUGCGAUAACACGCAAUCAAUACAACUUUCAACAACGGAUCUCUUGGCUCUC
RNAcentral lists this unclassified non-coding RNA (257 nucleotides) under plant metagenome. Its description in RNAcentral is "partial contains small subunit ribosomal RNA, internal transcribed spacer 1, and 5.8S ribosomal RNA". The record is from RNAcentral.